RNAcentral lists this unclassified non-coding RNA (28 nucleotides) under Microsporidium sp. 2_SPb. RNAcentral's name for it is "16S-23S ribosomal RNA intergenic spacer". The record is from RNAcentral. Lineage: Eukaryota; Fungi; Microsporidia.
GCUUAGUAAUAAUAGGUGAUUGUUUUUU